CCUACGGGUGGCAGCAGUGAGGAAUAUUGGUCAAUGGGCGCGAGCCUGAACCAGCCAAGUAGCGUGAAGGAUGACUGCCCUACGGGUUGUAAACUUCUUUUAUAAAGGAAUAAAGUGAGGCACGUGUGCCUUUUUGUAUGUAUUUUAUGAAUAAGGAUCGGCUAACUCCGUGCCAGCAGCCGCGGUAAUACGGAGGAUCCGAGCGUUAUCCGGAUUUAUUGGGUUUAAAGGGAGCGUAGAUGGGUUGUUAAGUCAGUUGUGAAAGUUUGGGGCUCAACCGUAAGAUUGCAAUUGAUACUGGCAGCCUUGAGUAAAGUAGAGGUAAGCGGAAUUCGUUGUGGAGCGGUGAAAUGCUUAGAUAUAACGAAGAACACCGAUUGCGAAGGCAGCCUACUAAACUGCCACUGACAUUGAUGCUCGAAAGUGUGGGUAUCAAACAGGAUUAGAUACCCUAGUAGUC
This 460-nucleotide ribosomal RNA is filed under the name uncultured bacterium. RNAcentral describes it as "partial 16S ribosomal RNA". It matches the Rfam family "Bacterial small subunit ribosomal RNA", at positions 338 to 795 of the family's 1533-position model. The record is from RNAcentral.